GACGAACGCUGGCGGCGUGCUUAACACAUGCAAGUCGAACGGAAAGGCCCUGCUUGCAGGGUACUCGAGUGGCGAACGGGUGAGUAACACGUGGGUGAUCUGCCCUGCACUUCGGGAUAAGCUUGGGAAACUGGGUCUAAUACCGGAUAGGAGCCAUCUUUAGUGUGGUGGUUGGAAAGUUUUUUCGGUGUAGGAUGAGCUCGCGGCCUAUCAGCUUGUUGGUGGGGUAAUGGCCUACCAAGGCGGCGACGGGUAGCCGGCCUGAGAGGGUGUACGGCUACAUUGGGACUGAGAUACGGCCCAGACUCCUACGGGAGGCAGCAGUGGGGAAUAUUGCACAAUGGGCGCAAGCCUGAUGCAGCGACGCCGCGUGGGGGAUGAAGGCCUUCGGGUUGUAAACUCCUUUCGCUAGGGACGAAGCUUUUUUGUGACGGUACCUAGAUAAGAAGCACCGGCUAACUACGUG
This 466-nucleotide ribosomal RNA is filed under the name uncultured bacterium. RNAcentral's name for it is "partial 16S ribosomal RNA". It matches the Rfam family "Bacterial small subunit ribosomal RNA", at positions 28 to 507 of the family's 1533-position model. The record is from RNAcentral.